AGCGUGAUGAUUGGGUGUUCACGCCGUUGUGUGACAUGUGCCACCCUUAAACCUUGUUACGACGCUGGCACAUUACCCGUCUGACGUGAACUUUGGAGGAUCCUUUUACUCUUCCAGUGAUGCAAAAAGCGUGCUGUGGAUUGAUGCCCUUGAGAAUUCGGAAGAUUCAGAAUUACUGAACAAGGACCAGCUUGAGGAUGAGAAGAAAACUGAAGCCAAGGAGAUCACGUGAGUGUGUCUUACAAAGAGCAGGAUCUACACGGGAAUCCAUAGCCACGCUCCUUGCAAUGACUCACUAUCAAAUCUUCCUCAUUUUCACUCUCACUAAAAAUUACCAAUGCAACGAACUCA
This is a long non-coding RNA of Felis catus (domestic cat), 351 nucleotides long. RefSeq lists it as uncharacterized. NCBI's taxonomy places the organism in Eukaryota, Metazoa, Chordata, Mammalia, Carnivora, Felidae. The record is from RefSeq and is a predicted model, not a curated record. The transcript has 3 exons.